This 187-nucleotide microRNA precursor is filed under the name Oryza punctata. RNAcentral's name for it is "MIR812 microRNA precursor family". It matches the Rfam family "MIR812 microRNA precursor family", at positions 27 to 205 of the family's 205-position model. The record is from Rfam by way of RNAcentral. Lineage: Eukaryota; Viridiplantae; Streptophyta; Magnoliopsida; Poales; Poaceae.
UUUAACUUUUUUUAACGUUUGAUCAUUUAUCUUAUUUGAAAAAAUUUUAUGAUUUGUAUUUUUAUUGUUAUUAGAUGAGAAGGCAUGAAUAACACUUUAAACGUGACUAUUUUUUUAUUUUUUUAUAAUUUUUUAAAUAAGACGUACGGUCAAACAUUGAAUACGGAGACCCACAACUACCCUGAAA